This 353-nucleotide unclassified non-coding RNA is filed under the name soil metagenome. Its description in RNAcentral is "partial contains 5.8S ribosomal RNA, internal transcribed spacer 2, and large subunit ribosomal RNA". The stretch from base 1 to 120 matches the Rfam family "5.8S ribosomal RNA", at positions 35 to 154 of the family's 154-position model. The record is from RNAcentral.
GAUGAAGAACGCAGCGAAAUGCGAUAAGUAAUGUGAAUUGCAGAAUUCAGUGAAUCAUCGAAUUUUUGAACGCACAUUGCGCCCGCCAGUAUUCUGGCGGGCAUGCCUGUUCGAGCGUCAUUACAACCCUCAGGCCCCCGGGCCUGGCGUUGGGGAUCGGCGGAAGCCCCCUGCGGGCACAACGCCGUCCCCCAAAUACAGUGGCGGUCCCGCCGCAGCUUCCAUUGCGUAGUAGCUAACACCUCGCAACUGGAGAGCGGCGCGGCCACGCCGUAAAACACCCAACUUCUGAAUGUUGACCUCGAAUCAGGUAGGAAUACCCGCUGAACUUAAGCAUAUCAAUAAGCGGAGGA